Molecule: ribosomal RNA, 330 nt
Filed under: Heterosigma akashiwo
Lineage: Eukaryota; Raphidophyceae; Chattonellales; Chattonellaceae
Description: partial Bacterial large subunit ribosomal RNA
Rfam family: Bacterial large subunit ribosomal RNA
Source: RNAcentral
AACCGGGGGAACUGAAACAUCUAAGUACCCGAAGGAAAGGACAUCAACCGAGACUCCGUCAGUAGCGGCGAGCGAACGCGGACCAGCCGAGCCUGAUGAGUGACCAGAACCAGUUGGGAAACUGGGCCAGAGCGGGUGACAGCCCCGUAUGGGAAGCUCUGAGGGACGUAUUAAGUAGGGCGGGACACGUGAAAUCCUGUUCGAAGAUCGGAGGACCACCUCCGAAGGCUAAGUACUCCUUACUGACCGAUAGCGAACCAGUACCGUGAGGGAAAGGUGAAAAGCACCCCGGCGAGGGGAGUGAAACAGUACCUGAAACCGAACGCCUGC